UGCAACCUCCGCCUCCUGGGCUCAAGUGAUUCUCGUGCCUCAGCCUCCUGAGUAGCUGGGACUACAGGUCACAGAAUUUUCCACACUCCUUGACGGAGGUGCUUAACCCUUAUCCAUCAGCAUUCUCAGACAGCACCUCCGGUUAGGGACAGUAUCUGACCGUCCGACAUCCCUGCAGCCCCCAUGUGUCACACAGACUCAGCCUCAGGUAGAUGGUUUCCGUAGAUGGUGGCUUUCUUUGGACCCUUGACAUCAACCAGUUACUAUUUGGUCUAGGGGUUUCACCAACGCUGCUCAUCUAGCAGGGCCACACAUAACAAAUAGAAGCAGAGCAAGCCCUGGAACUCCUGCCUGACAGUGACACGACGACAGAAACAUCUUACCAGUCAGAGGACCAUGAGAAAUAGAUUCAAGGAGCAUUCCACGUGCAAGUGAGUCUUGGCCCCAUCUGCCUUUGGAUUUUAGCCGUGAACUGGAAGGUAUUGGAAAGAAGACCCUCAGAAAUAGCUUAAUCAAAAUCCCUGCGUCUGAACCAAGUGCCUUAUUUCUCUGUGGGCCUCAAGCUUCGCUGACAUCUGUGGAGCACACUGUCCUAACAGGAGUGCUGUCUGAUUUCCCAACGCUCUGCAAAAGAAACAGCCUGGAAGGGUGGCUGGUG
Molecule: non-coding RNA, 658 nt
Filed under: Pan troglodytes (chimpanzee)
Lineage: Eukaryota; Metazoa; Chordata; Mammalia; Primates; Hominidae
Source: RNAcentral